This 405-nucleotide ribosomal RNA is filed under the name uncultured bacterium. Its description in RNAcentral is "partial 16S ribosomal RNA". It matches the Rfam family "Bacterial small subunit ribosomal RNA", at positions 28 to 526 of the family's 1533-position model. The record is from RNAcentral.
GAUGAACGCUGGCGGCGUGCCUAAUACAUGCAAGUCGAGCGAAGCGGGGACGGGUGAGUAACACGUGGAUAACAUCCUAUAAGACUGGGAUAACUUCGGGAAACCGGAGCUAAACCGGAUACUGAUAUAUGGAUACGCGGUGCAUUAGCUAGUUGCGAAGGUAACGGCUUACCAUGGCAACGAUGCAUAGCCGACCUGAGAGGGUGAUCGGCCACACUGGAACUGAGCCACGGUCCAGACUCCUACGGGAGGCAGCAGUAGGGAAUCUUCCGCAAUGGGCGCAAGCCUGACAGAGCAACGCCGCGUGAGUGAUGAAGGUCUUCGGAUCGUAAAACUCUGUUAUUAGGGAAGCGGUACCUAACCAGAAAGCCACGGCUAACUACGUGCCAGCAGCCGCGGUAAUUC